RNAcentral lists this ribosomal RNA (377 nucleotides) under uncultured bacterium. RNAcentral's name for it is "bacterial SSU rRNA". It matches the Rfam family "Bacterial small subunit ribosomal RNA", at positions 524 to 898 of the family's 1533-position model. The record is from RNAcentral.
UACGUAGGGUGCGAGCGUUGUCCGGAAUUAUUGGGCGUAAAGAGCUUGUAGGCGGUUUGUCGCGUCUGCCGUGAAAAUCCGGGGCUCAACCCCGGACUUGCGGUGGGUACGGGCAGACUAGAGUGUGGUAGGGGAGACUGGAAUUCCUGGUGUAGCGGUGAAAUGCGCAGAUAUCAGGAGGAACACCGAUGGCGAAGGCAGGUCUCUGGGCCACUACUGACGCUGAGAAGCGAAAGCGUGGGGAGCGAACAGGAUUAGAUACCCUGGUAGUCCACGCCGUAAACGUUGGGAACUAGGUGUGGGUCUCAUUCCACGAGAUCUGUGCCGCAGCUAACGCAUUAAGCAAUCCGCCUGGGGAGUACGGCCGCAAGGUUGAA